RNAcentral lists this ribosomal RNA (638 nucleotides) under Ganoderma sp. 2 YD-2015. RNAcentral describes it as "eukaryotic LSU rRNA". The stretch from base 251 to 404 matches the Rfam family "5.8S ribosomal RNA". The record is from RNAcentral. Lineage: Eukaryota; Fungi; Basidiomycota; Agaricomycetes; Polyporales; Polyporaceae.
UAAAAGUCGUAACAAGGUUUCCGUAGGUGAACCUGCGGAAGGAUCAUUAUCGAGUUUUGACUGGGUUGUAGCUGGCCUUCCGAGGCAUGUGCACGCCCUGCUCAUCCACUCUACACCUGUGCACUUACUGUGGGCUUCAGAUCGUAAAACGGGUCCCUUUACCGGGCUUGCGGAGCGUGUCUGUGCCUGCGUUUAUCACAAACUCUAUAAAGUAUCAGAAUGUGUAUUGCGAUGUAACGCAUCUAUAUACAACUUUCAGCAACGGAUCUCUUGGCUCUCGCAUCGAUGAAGAACGCAGCGAAAUGCGAUAAGUAAUGUGAAUUGCAGAAUUCAGUGAAUCAUCGAAUCUUUGAACGCACCUUGCGCUCCUUGGUAUUCCGAGGAGCAUGCCUGUUUGAGUGUCAUGAAAUCUUCAACCUGCAAGCUUUUGUGGUUUGUAGGCUUGGACUUGGAGGCUUGUCGGCCGUUCUCGGUCGGCUCCUCUUAAAUGCAUUAGCUUGGUUCCUUGCGGAUCGGCUCUCAGUGUGAUAAUGUCUACGCUGCGACCGUGAAGCGUUUGGCGAGCUUCUAACCGUCUCAGUUGGAGACAACUUUAUGACCUCUGACCUCAAAUCAGGUAGGACUACCCGCUGAACUUA